Long non-coding RNA from Macaca fascicularis (crab-eating macaque), 1958 nucleotides. The record is from Ensembl. Lineage: Eukaryota; Metazoa; Chordata; Mammalia; Primates; Cercopithecidae.
UUUUUUUUUUUUUUUCUCAUUCACCAAAUGUACAAGAAGUCAUACACUGGCUUUCCCUGUGGGCAUUGUAAUUCUCACCCAUCAGUUCAUCUUCAACAGGAAUUAUCUUCUAGGAGAACCCAGGCUCAUGCUGACAGAUUACAGGAUUAUUUCAAUUUUGAUUUUCUCAGAUAACUAAAGAUUUACCACUUGGCCAGUUUUUAUGUUUGUUUCUCAGUUCAGGGGCUUUUGAAACAUUCAGUUAAGCUGAAAAUUAGAUCCCCAUAUUCCUAUGAAUGUAUGCAUGAGACUUGAAGUUUUUAAGAGUGACUGUGGCUAAACAGAGCCCAGAAUUGGGGAAUAAAUUUCAGGCAAUGUUCACAAGGCCAAUGGGUAGAAUUAUUCUAACGAGAUUGCCUUUUCCAUCUUUCCUUCUUCAUUCUAUCCCUGCAUGGUUCUUAUUUUCAGUCAUCAUAUUGGUGUGCCUUAAAACGACCACCACUAUGAAUCACCUUUCAUGAAUCUGUGGGUUGACUGGGCUUAGCUGGGUGGUUUUUCUGUUCUAACUAGUAUCAGUUAGGGCUGCAGUCAUCUGGAGACUUGAUGGGUUAGUACUUCUGUAAGGACUCACUCAUCUGAUGCUUUGGGUGGUAUCAUCUGGAAGUCUGGGCUCAGCUAUGUGAUUCUUUGGUUUGAUGUGGUAUUGGCAAGGGCUGCAGUUAUCUGGAGGAUUGACUGGGUUGGAACAUUCUAGAAGGUUCACUUAUUUGGCUGAAAGUCAGUGCUGUCUAUCAGCUGAGAGUAUAGUUGAAUCUGUGGAUCGGAGUGUCUCAGUUUUUCUCUGUGUGAUCUCACCCUGUGGUUUGGACUUCUCACAACAUGGCAGUUGGGUUCCAAGAAGAGGUGCUAUCAGUGGCAAAGGUGGAAACUGCAGACCCCUUAAAGCCCAGAUCCAGAAGAUGCACUGUAGAACUGUUAUCACAUUCUUUUGGUCCAAACAGGCCAGAAGACUAGCCCAGAUUUAAAGAUAAGGGAAACAAAUUCUACCUCUCUAUGGCAAAAGUGGAAAAGAAUUUGUAGUCAUCUUUAAGAUACCUCAGUCAACAUAAUAAAGACUCUCAAAAUAGUUUCUUAAAGAAGAUAGGUUUGUUUUUCACUCUUAAAUGAUAAGUCCAAGGAUGUGUUAUCCAGAUCUUGAUUGCAGCUUUAUAAUGUAAUUAGCAACUCAGACACCUUUUUAAUGUCAUUAGCAACCCAGCCACAGGGUGGCUGCAAAAACUCCAGCCAUUACAACCAAGUUUCAGGCAGAAACACAUGGAUAGAACAGACAAGCAAAAGGGAUCUACCAACUAAGUCAGUCCUUGGAAGAACUUUUCUUGAAGCUUCCCAUGGCUACUGUUUACAUCUCAUUGGCCUCUCCUUCUACAAGAGAACCAACGAUAGUAACACCAAAAAGAAAGCAUACCAUCACGUCGGAGAUGUUUUUAAAUGUUUCCUUGUUUAACAGGUGGUGGAUAUGAGCUCAAUGAAUCACUCAAUGAGCAGUGAAUCCCAAACAAAUCUAUUUCAUUCCCUUUCCUUUCCAUCCCCACCAUCUUGUUUGCACUUGGCAAGGACUCUCACUGUGGCACUGUGAGAGUGUUUUUGUGGUAGACUAAUUUCGGUAUUCUAUUGAGACAGAUGCAUACAGCAUCAUGAGAAUAAGGGACAUGCUUUAGCCUGCAGGCUGCUGACACAAUGGUUGCAGGGUACUAUUUAGAGAAGAAUUUUAGUGCUCCUUAUUAAUAAAGGUCCAUUUGUAAGCCUAAUUACACCCUUGCCAAAUAAUAGAGUUGACUUUUGCGGCACUUCCUCUUCUGUUUAAACUGGAGAUGUUCUUUAUCAGCAGGUUUCAGUUGUCAGCCAAGUUUGUGCUCAGGGCCCCUGCUGCACACUUUUAUAGAGUCCCUUCUUUUUAGGUCUGUUCUCCUGUCUCACCU